Molecule: ribosomal RNA, 363 nt
Filed under: uncultured Sphingobacteriales bacterium
Lineage: Bacteria; Pseudomonadati; Bacteroidota; Sphingobacteriia; Sphingobacteriales
Description: bacterial SSU rRNA
Rfam family: Bacterial small subunit ribosomal RNA
Source: RNAcentral
CGGAGCAUUUUACGUAGGUGCUGCAUGGUUGUUCGUCAACUCGUGCCGUGAGGGUGUCGGGUUAAGUCCCAUAACGAGCGCAACCCUACCUUUAGUUGCCAUCAGGUAAUGCUGGGGACUCUAAAGGAACUGCCUACGCAAGUAGUGAGGAAGGCGGGGAUGACGUCAAAUCAGCACGGCCCUUACGUCCAGGGCUACACACGUGCUACAAUGGCCGAUACAGAGGGCAGCUACCUGGUGACAGGAUGCAAAUCUCCAAAGUCGGUCUCAGUUCGGAUCGGAGUCUGCAACCCGACUCCGUGAAGUUGGAUUCGCUAGUAAUCGCGCAUCAGCCAUGGCGCGGUGAAUACGUUCCCGGGCCUU